GGUAUUUGCAUUUGUGAAAUCUGAAAAAUUCAAUGGUUCCCCACAGAGAGCAGAGUGUCAUGUCUGUGACAGCACUCUAGAGUUUGGUGCUAAGACUGAGCAAUCUGUGUCUAGACUUGGGAGAAAAUGGUAUAUGUCGUAUUUAUCUCGUGUCACGAAGAGGUAGAAGCCGGAGGUGGAUGUGAGCCAUCUGCAAUGCGUACACAACAUAACUGUUAAUAAAAGCAUGAUUCUUCUCUUCAAUUUUCAGUUCUUUUUUGCAGGAACUAAAUGGACUACUGGACUUGUUAUACUGUAGAAUGAUGUAACGAGACUCUUGAAAUUUAUGUAUAGAAGACUUGCUAUCUUAGUAUGAAAAAUAAAUGGUUAUAUUGCUUU
Long non-coding RNA from Hibiscus syriacus, 378 nucleotides. RefSeq lists it as uncharacterized. Lineage: Eukaryota; Viridiplantae; Streptophyta; Magnoliopsida; Malvales; Malvaceae. The record is from RefSeq and is a predicted model, not a curated record. The transcript has 2 exons.